Molecule: ribosomal RNA, 305 nt
Filed under: uncultured bacterium
Lineage: Bacteria
Description: partial 16S ribosomal RNA
Rfam family: Bacterial small subunit ribosomal RNA
Source: RNAcentral
ACAGCAGCCGCCACGGGAAUACGGAGGGUGCAAGCGUUGUCCGGAUUUAUUGGGUUUAAAGGGUGCGUAGGCGGCUAUUUAAGUCAGCGGUGAAAGACUCCGGCUCAACCGGAGCAGUGCCAUUGAUACUGGAUAGCUUGAGUGUUGGAGGGGUACAUGGAAUUGAUGGUGUAGCGGUGAAAUGCAUAGAUACCAUCAGGAACACCGAUAGCGAAGGCAUUGUACUGGCCAACAACUGACGCUGAGGCACGAAAGCAUGGGGAGCGAACAGGAUUAGAUACCCGUGUAGUCCCUGUCUCUUAUAC